Molecule: long non-coding RNA, 2642 nt
Filed under: Homo sapiens (human)
Lineage: Eukaryota; Metazoa; Chordata; Mammalia; Primates; Hominidae
Description: HSALNT0308285
Source: RNAcentral
GGCAGUUAUGGAGCAUGCGCAGCAGCAGGGGCGGCCGCAGGUCGCCGUUCAAUAAUACGUAAUGUAUAGACUUUUGAGUAUACGAAGCUCCCUGUUUCUCUAGGUUCACCUGAGAUUUAUCUGGUCUUUCAGGGCUUAAAAGGGAGACAUUCCCAAAGAAGAUUCCGUGGGAAGUCUCCUACAAGCCCCGAAGGAAGGGAAUCUCUCUCCUCAUACCUUGAGUUUCCUGAGUACAAUUAUUAUAGAUAUACGAAGAUCUCUGUGCUCAUGGAGAAUUUGUGGUUAGAUAUGAAGCUAAUUCAUCUCUGUUUGGGAACAGGGUACAUGAUCUAGGACAGGAAAAAAACGGGGCGAGGCAGUACGCUUUACUUGGUGUUUUGCUAUUUGGAGGUUUUCAAAAACUAAACAGUGUAGGAAAGUCAUGUGUGUCCAGCAACUAUCUGUGGCCAGUUGAGUAGGAAUAAGAUUUGGCGAAAUGUAUGCUCAGGCCUGUACUCCCAGCACUGUGGGAGGCCGAGGCGGAGGAUCACUUGAGUCCAGCAGUUUGAAACCAGCCUGGGCAACAUAGGGAGGCCUUGUCUCUACUAAAUUUUUUUUUUUAAUUAGCCGGGCGUGGUGGUGCAUGCCUAUAGUCCAAGCUACUGGGAGGGCUGAGAUGGGAGAUUGGAUCGCUUGAGCCCAGGAGUUGUAUGCUGCAAUGAGUUGUGAUCCCACCACUGCACUCCAGCCUGGGCAACAGAAGCAGACCCUGUCUCAAAAAAUAAACCAAAAACAAACAAAACAGGGAAAUGUGUGCGAGCGAGGAUGAGAUCCAAGUACUUGUGAGACAAAGCACUGUAAAGAGAAUAAUUAAUGAAAAUUACAAAAAACUACAGCCAACAUUUGUUGAGGGUUUACUAUAGGCCAGAAAUCUAAGCACUUUAUAUAUAAUUGUUCGGAGUUUAUAUAUGUGUAUUUAAGCACACAUACUGUUUUCUUUGGUCUACAUAUGCAAAUAAUAACAAAUGGCUUGGAGUAGGAACAUAAAUGAGCAAAUGAUAAAAUAUGAUUUAUAUAUAUGUAUAGACUUGGUGACUUAGUAUGCUAACCUACUCUGGUCUAAAUUGUUGCAUUCCAUCUGACAUCAAAAUAUUGUUAUCAAUCAAAAAUUAUUCAAUUAAUUACUAAGGAAAUCUGCCGCUUUCUAAAAUAACUGGUUAAAAACAAGUAGAGGUUAGUUAUACAAUAAUUAGUAUAUAAUGACAUUUAGGCAACCUGACGUCACUCUGUUUUGCCAAUUGCAAACAUGUUACUUUCCAUUGUUAGAUAGAGGAUUGCUGAAAUGUUAUCUAAAAGUCCAAACAUGUACAUGAAUUGCAAAUGCAGCUUUUGAUUUGUGGUCUUGUUUUUAGCUUGACCUUAUAAUGAAAUCUAUUUUUAUUUUUAAGUUUAUUUUUUUAAGACAAGAUCUUGCUUUGUCACCCAGGCUGGAGUGCAGUGGCACAAUCUCGGCUCACUGCAAUCUCUGCCCCCCAGAUUCAAGCGAUUCACUUGCCUCAGCCUCCCUAGUAGCUGAGAUCACAGGCAUGUGCCACCACGCCCGGCUAAUUUUUGUAUUUUUUUAAUAGAGACAGGGUUUCUCCAUGUUGACCAUGCUGGUUGCGAACUCCUUACUUCAGGUGAUCUACCCGCCUCGGCCUCCCAAAGUGCUGGGAUUACAGGCAGGAGCCACCAUGCCCUGCCUUAAUGAAAUCUAUUCUUAUUGAAGAGAGUGGAGAAUGUGUUUUAUAAGGAAAAUUGUAGCAAAUAUUAAAUGCCACAAAGUUGUCUCAGUAUCGCUAAGAUAAUUAAGGUCUUUGAGAAAUACAAGUAAGAAUUUAAAGAGUAGAGUAAAGAAACAGACUAAAGUAAGCACAAAUGUUUCCUUACAGUCAAGGGAUUUGUACAGCCCUGUAGGAGACACCUCCAGAGAAAGUAACAGCUCUCAAUUGAUUAGCUGAGGAGACCGAUUUUGUAAAUCACUACUUUUCUAACAACACUGGCACAGAUGGCCAAGCAUUCUCCCUUUUCUCAGAGCUGGUUUUCCAUCCCGGAAAGAGGUCUUACAUAUACAAAGUUACUCUAAUCAGUUGUGUGAGUUUUCUCUUCUCUAACUGAUAGGGUUCUGCACAGGGAUUAUAUUAAUGCUUAUAGUGUCCAAAAGGCUAUAGCUCACCUCUGGACUCUUGAGAGUUCUCAAGGGAUCCUGCUGAGCUCUCAGACCUUUUUAAUGCUAUUCAAUAUAAUAGAAAAGUUGCAAAAUUGGAAGGAAUCUGAGAAAGGCUAAUUUACAAUGGAAAGGACAGCAUUAAAAGGCACAAACUCCAAUAUCUACAGGGGCCAGGUCUAUAUUAUAAAUAGUAAAAUUGGCCACAAAUAAACAAUAGGGAAUGUAAACACUGGCAAACUAGAGAGAUGUCAUAUUUGAAGAAGGCAGUCACUAUUCACUGCUAGCCAGUUGUAAAAUGAAGGCAACAUUUUGCCAAACCUUCAAACUUGUUAAGAGAUUUCUCGACACAAAUCAGAUACAGAUUUUUAUGUUUCAUUUGCCAACUUGUAAAUGUUGACAACUAAUUAAAUUUGCUUGUAAAACACCGUAUUAAAUUAAAUGCACACAUAGGCCA